UACGUAGGGUGCUAGCGUUGUUCGGAAUCAUUGGGCGUAAAGCGCGUGCAGGCUGUUACAUAAGUCAGAUGUGAAAUCCCUGGGCUCAACCGAGGAAGUGCAUUUGAAACUAUGUAGCUAGAAGAUGGUAGAGGAAGGUGGAAUUCCAAGUGUAGAGGUGAAAUUCGUAGAUAUUUGGAGGAAUACCGGUGGCGAAGGCGGCCUUCUGGGCCAUUCUUGACGCUGAGACGCGAAAGCGUGGGUAGCAAACAGG
This 253-nucleotide ribosomal RNA is filed under the name uncultured bacterium. RNAcentral describes it as "partial 16S ribosomal RNA". It matches the Rfam family "Bacterial small subunit ribosomal RNA", at positions 524 to 776 of the family's 1533-position model. The record is from RNAcentral.